Molecule: microRNA precursor, 87 nt
Filed under: macacine gammaherpesvirus 12
Lineage: Duplodnaviria; Heunggongvirae; Peploviricota; Herviviricetes; Herpesvirales; Orthoherpesviridae
Description: miRc-N11
Source: RNAcentral
CGGUGAUCUGGGGAGGAAGGUUAGCGCGCGUUCCCGUUGUAGUGGGCAUAUUGAUAUCGCUCGUUAACCGACCUCUCCGGAUUACUG